Non-coding RNA from Thermoactinomyces sp. DSM 45891, 120 nucleotides. Lineage: Bacteria; Bacillati; Bacillota; Bacilli; Caryophanales; Thermoactinomycetaceae. The record is from Rfam.
AAAAAAAGAGCCCGCGUUGACAGUUCGCGAGCCAAUCGUAUCUUCCAUGACGAAAGAUACUUUAUGGGAGAGGAGAAACCGGAGGAAGAACUUAUGGGGAAAUGUAAGCCUUCUCCGCGG